UUUUAAUAAAAAUAUUUAUUAUAUUAACUUUUAAAAUAAUUUCUAUCUUUACUGUAAAGUAAUAAUAAAUUAUUAAAAAGAAAUUUUAUCUUCCUUUAGUAUCAGGAAUACUCAAUUAAAAUUUAAUAUUAAUUUUUCCUGAAAAAAGGUCAUCUACAAAUUUAUCUAAAUAUUAUAUCAAAAAUACUAUAAAUAAAAUUGUUGAAGUUAAACUCUAUCCGAACCUUUUGAUAUCCGGUAUCUUUAAAUUUUUAAUAAAAAUUUAUAUUUAAAAAGAUAAUUUUUUAAAUUAAUUUUUUUUAUUUUUAUAUUUCAAUUAAGAAUAAAAGUUUCUAAAAAGUUUUAUAACCAAAAAUCACAUUUUUAUAAAUCAUUUAAUAAAGAUUUCUUUUAUUAAUUAAAAUAAUGAAAAUAUUAGUAGAAUCUUCUUAAUUAUUAGUUUAAAAACUAGGCAAAAAAUUGAAUGACUGUUUACCAAAAACAUUUCUUACUGAAAUAAUUGUAAGUAACACCUGCUCAAUGAAUAUUUAAAUAGCCGCGGAAAUUUAACCGUGCUAAGGUAGCAUAAUCAUUAGCCUCUUAAUUAGAGGCUAGCAUGAACGGUGAAACAUUUCAAUUACUUUUUUAAUUAAUUUCUUUAAAUUUUAACUAAGAAUAAAAAUGUUCUUAUAAAUAAAAUAGACGAUAAGACCCUUUUGAACUUUACUUUAGUUUAGCUGGGGCAGCUAAAUAAAAAUAAUCUUAUUUUUAAUUUUUACUUAAACGACCCAAUAUAAUUGAUUAAUUGACCAAGUUACCAUAGGGAUAACAGCGUAAUAUCUUUUAAAAGCUCUUAUUAAAAAAGAAGAUUGCGACCUCGAUGUUGAAUUAAUGUAACUUUACUAAUGCAAUAAUUUUAAAAGUAGGUCUGUUCGACCUUUAAAACAUUACAUGAUUUGAGUUCAAAUCGGUGUAAACCAGAUUGGUUUCUAUCUUUUAUAAUUUUUAUUCAGUACGAAAGGACCAAUAAAUUUAUUUUUAAUAUUCUUAUGGCAGAUUAAUGCAUUAGAUUUAGAAUCUAUCAAUUCUAAUUAUUUCCCCUUUUAUGAAUUCUUUAAUUGCAAUUAUCUGUAUUCUUGUAGCAGUAGCCUUUUAUACAAUUUUAGAACGAAAAAUUCUAGGUUAUAUCCAAAUCCGAAAAGGACCAAAUAAGGUAGGAUUCAUUGGAAUCUUACAACCCUUUGCUGAUGCAAUUAAACUCUUUAAUAAAUCCCUUUCAUCUACUGAUGCAUCUAAUUUUUCUAUUUCUUUUUUAACUCCUAGAGUUAGAUUAUUUCUUGCUCUAAUCCUUGUCCCUUUAAUUCCUUUUAAUAAUUUUCAAAUUUUAGACAAUAAACAUAAUAUUUUAACUUUUUUUAUUAUUUCUAGCUUAAGUGUUUACUCAAUACUAAUAAUUGGAUGAUCAUCUAACUCCAAAUAUAGACAUAUUGGUGCUAUCCGAAGAGUUGCCCAAAUAAUUUCUUACGAAGUUUCAUUUUUUUUAAUUAUCCUAUUUAUCUCUAUUUUAAGAAACUCUUUCAAUUUUAAACAAAUUAUAGAUGCCCAAAACCUCCUAUGGUUUUUUUUUGGAAAUAUUUUACUAUUUUAUAUAUGAUUUACAAGAUGUUUAGCAGAAGUAAAUCGAAGACCUUUUGAUUUUGCUGAAGGAGAAUCAGAACUAGUGUCAGGUUUUAAUGUUGAAUAUAUAGGAGGAUGAUUCGCCCUAAUCUUUUUAGCAGAAUAUUCGAAUAUAAUUAUCUUAGCUAUUAUUUCUACUAUUCUAUUUUUUUCCUCAAUCAAAUCAUUUUUUAUUAUCAUAUUACUUUUAACUAUCUUAAUAUUAUGAGUACGAGGCUCGUAUCCUCGAUUUCGAUAUGACCUAUUAAUAAUCCUAAACUGAAAAAUUUUUCUUCCCCUAAUUUUACUUUUUAUCCCUAUUGCCUUAACUUCAUCUUCAUG
RNAcentral lists this ribosomal RNA (1977 nucleotides) under Argiope perforata. RNAcentral describes it as "16S ribosomal RNA". The record is from RNAcentral. Lineage: Eukaryota; Metazoa; Arthropoda; Arachnida; Araneae; Araneidae.